This 466-nucleotide ribosomal RNA is filed under the name uncultured bacterium. RNAcentral describes it as "partial 16S ribosomal RNA". It matches the Rfam family "Bacterial small subunit ribosomal RNA", at positions 28 to 507 of the family's 1533-position model. The record is from RNAcentral.
GAUGAACGCUGGCGGCGUGCUUAACACAUGCAAGUCGAACGAUGAAGCCCAGCUUGCUGGGUGGAUUAGUGGCGAACGGGUGAGUAACACGUGAGUAACCUGCCCUUGACUCUGGGAUAAGCCUGGGAAACUGGGUCUAAUACUGGAUAUGACUUCUCAUCGCAUGGUGGGGGGUGGUAAGAUUUAUUGGUCUUGGAUGGACUCGCGGCCUAUCAGCUUGUUGGUGAGGUAAUGGCUCACCAAGGCGACGACGGGUAGCCGGCCUGAGAGGGUGACCGGCCACACUGGGACUGAGACACGGCCCAGACUCCUACGGGAGGCAGCAGUGGGGAAUAUUGCACAAUGGGCGCAAGCCUGAUGCAGCGACGCCGCGUGAGGGAUGACGGCCUUCGGGUUGUAAACCUCUUUCAGUAGGGAAGAAGCGAGAGUGACGGUACCUGCAGAAGAAGCGCCGGCUAACUACGUG